GGUCAAGUGAAGAAGCGCAUACGGUGGAUGCCUUGGCAGUCAGAGGCGAUGAAAGACGUGGUAGCCUGCGAAAAGCUUCGGGGAGUCGGCAAACAGACUGUGAUCCGGAGAUAUCUGAAUGGGGGAACCCAGCCAUCAUAAGAUGGUUAUCUUGUACUGAAUACAUAGGUGCAAGAGGCGAACCAGGGGAACUGAAACAUCUAAGUACCCUGAGGAAAAGAAAUCAACCGAGAUUCCCUUAGUAGUGGCGAGCGAACGGGGACCAGCCCUUAAGUUGUAUUGAGAUUAGCGGAACGUUCUGGAAAGGACGGCCAUAGUGGGUGAUAGCCCUGUACGCGAAAAUCCCUUUGCAAUGAAAUCGAGUAGGACGGGGCACGAGAAACCUUGUCUGAAUAUGGGGGGACCAUCCUCCAAGGCUAAAUACUACUGACUGACCGAUAGUGAACCAGUACCGUGAGGGAAAGGCGAAAAGAACCGCGGAGAGCGGAGUGAAAUAGAUCCUGAAACCGUAUGCGUACAAGCAGUGGGAGCCCACUUUGUUGGGUGACUGCGUACCUUUUGUAUAAUGGGUCAGCGACUUAUUUUCAGUGGCGAGCUUAACCGAAUAGGGGAGGCGUAGCGAAAGCGAGUCUUAAUAGGGCGUCUAGUCGCUGGGAAUAGACCCGAAACCGGGCGAUCUAUCCAUGGGCAGGUUGAAGGUUGGGUAACACUAACUGGAGGACCGAACCGACUACCGUUGAAAAGUUAGCGGAUGACCUGUGGAUCGGAGUGAAAGGCUAAUCAAGCUCGGAGAUAGCUGGUUCUCCUCGAAAGCUAUUUAGGUAGCGCCUCAUGUAUCACUGUAGGGGGUAGAGCACUGUUUCGGCUAGGGGGUCAUCCCGACUUACCAAACCGAUGCAAACUCCGAAUACCUACAAGUGCCGAGCAUGGGAGACACACGGCGGGUGCUAACGUCCGUCGUGAAAAGGGAAACAACCCAGACCGUCAGCUAAGGUCCCAAAGUCAUGGUUAAGUGGGAAACGAUGUGGGAAGGCUUAGACAGCUAGGAGGUUGGCUUAGAAGCAGCCACCCUUUAAAGAAAGCGUAAUAGCUCACUAGUCGAGUCGGCCUGCGCGGAAGAUGUAACGGGGCUCAAACCAUGCACCGAAGCUACGGGUAUCAUCUUUUGAUGAUGCGGUAGAGGAGCGUUCUGUAAGCCUGUGAAGGUGAGUUGAGAAGCUUGCUGGAGGUAUCAGAAGUGCGAAUGCUGACAUGAGUAACGACAAUGGGUGUGAAAAACACCCACGCCGAAAGACCAAGGUUUCCUGCGCAACGUUAAUCGACGCAGGGUUAGUCGGUCCCUAAGGCGAGGCUGAAAAGCGUAGUCGAUGGAAAACAGGUUAAUAUUCCUGUACUUCUGGUUAUUGCGAUGGAGGGACGGAGAAGGCUAGGCCAGCCUGGCGUUGGUUGUCCAGGUUUAAGGUGGUAGGCUGAGAUCUUAGGUAAAUCCGGGAUCUUAAGGCCGAGAGCUGAUGACGAGUGUUCUUUUAGAACACGAAGUGGUUGAUGCCAUGCUUCCAAGAAAAGCUUCUAAGCUUCAGGUAACCAGGAACCGUACCCCAAACCGACACAGGUGGUUGGGUAGAGAAUACCAAGGCGCUUGAGAGAACUCGGGUGAAGGAACUAGGCAAAAUGGCACCGUAACUUCGGGAGAAGGUGCGCCGGUGGAGGUUAAGCAUUUACUGCGUAAGCCCCUGCCGGUCGAAGAUACCAGGCCGCUGCGACUGUUUAUUAAAAACACAGCACUCUGCAAACACGAAAGUGGACGUAUAGGGUGUGACGCCUGCCCGGUGCCGGAAGGUUAAUUGAUGGGGUUAGCGCAAGCGAAGCUCUUGAUCGAAGCCCCGGUAAACGGCGGCCGUAACUAUAACGGUCCUAAGGUAGCGAAAUUCCUUGUCGGGUAAGUUCCGACCUGCACGAAUGGCGUAACGAUGGCGGCGCUGUCUCCACCCGAGACUCAGUGAAAUUGAAAUCGCUGUGAAGAUGCAGUGUAUCCGCGGCUAGACGGAAAGACCCCGUGAACCUUUACUAUAGCUUUGCACUGGACUUUGAAUUUGCUUGUGUAGGAUAGGUGGGAGGCUUUGAAGCGUGGACGCCAGUCUGCGUGGAGCCAACCUUGAAAUACCACCCUGGCAACUUUGAGGUUCUAACUCAGGUCCGUUAUCCGGAUCGAGGACAGUGUAUGGUGGGUAGUUUGACUGGGGCGGUCUCCUCCUAAAGAGUAACGGAGGAGUACGAAGGUGCGCUCAGACCGGUCGGAAAUCGGUCGUAGAGUAUAAAGGCAAAAGCGCGCUUGACUGCGAGACAGACACGUCGAGCAGGUACGAAAGUAGGUCUUAGUGAUCCGGUGGUUCUGUAUGGAAGGGCCAUCGCUCAACGGAUAAAAGGUACUCCGGGGAUAACAGGCUGAUACCGCCCAAGAGUUCAUAUCGACGGCGGUGUUUGGCACCUCGAUGUCGGCUCAUCACAUCCUGGGGCUGAAGCCGGUCCCAAGGGUAUGGCUGUUCGCCAUUUAAAGUGGUACGCGAGCUGGGUUUAGAACGUCGUGAGACAGUUCGGUCCCUAUCUGCCGUGGACGUUUGAGAUUUGAGAGGGGCUGCUCCUAGUACGAGAGGACCGGAGUGGACGAACCUCUGGUGUUCCGGUUGUCACGCCAGUGGCAUUGCCGGGUAGCUAUGUUCGGAAAAGAUAACCGCUGAAAGCAUCUAAGCGGGAAACUUGCCUCAAGAUGAGAUCUCACUGGAACCUUGAGUUCCCUAAAGGGCCGUCGAAGACUACGACGUUGAUAGGUUGGGUGUGUAAGCGCUGUGAGGCGUUGAGCUAACCAAUACUAAUUGCCCGUGAGGCUUGACCAU
This 2894-nucleotide ribosomal RNA is filed under the name Pseudomonas sp. PvP009. RNAcentral's name for it is "23S ribosomal RNA". It matches the Rfam family "Bacterial large subunit ribosomal RNA". Lineage: Bacteria; Pseudomonadati; Pseudomonadota; Gammaproteobacteria; Pseudomonadales; Pseudomonadaceae. The record is from RNAcentral.